CGCGGCCUAUCAGCUUGUUGGUGGGGUGAUGGCCUACCAAGGCGACGACGGGUAGCCGGCCUGAGAGGGCGACCGGCCACACUGGGACUGAGACACGGCCCAGACUCCUACGGGAGGCAGCAGUGGGGAAUAUUGCGCAAUGGGCGGAAGCCUGACGCAGCGACGCCGCGUGGGGGAUGACGGCCUUCGGGUUGUAAACCUCUUUCGGCCCCGACGAAGCGUGAGUGACGGUAGGGGUAGAAGAAGCACCGGCCAACUACGUGCCAGCAGCCGCGGUAAUACGUAGGGUGCGAGCGUUGUCCGGAAUUAUUGGGCGUAAAGAGCUCGUAGGCGGUCUGUCGCGUCGGUCGUGAAAACUUGGGGCUUAACCCUGAGCUUGCGGUCGAUACGGGCAUGACUGGAGUUCGGCAGGGGAGACUGGAAUUCCUGGUGUAGCGGUGAAAUGCGCAGAUAUCAGGAGGAACACCGGUGGCGAAGGCGGGUCUCUGGGCCGAUACUGACGCUGAGGAGCGAAAGCGUGGGGAGCGAACAGGAUUAGAUACCCUGGUAGUCCACGCCGUAAACGGUGGGCGCUAGGUGUGGGGGCCAUUCCACGGUCUCUGUGCCGUAGCUAACGCAUUAAGCGCCCCGCCUGGGGAGUACGG
Molecule: ribosomal RNA, 644 nt
Filed under: uncultured Actinomycetes bacterium
Lineage: Bacteria; Bacillati; Actinomycetota; Actinomycetes
Description: bacterial SSU rRNA
Rfam family: Bacterial small subunit ribosomal RNA
Source: RNAcentral